RNAcentral lists this ribosomal RNA (253 nucleotides) under uncultured bacterium. RNAcentral's name for it is "partial 16S ribosomal RNA". It matches the Rfam family "Bacterial small subunit ribosomal RNA", at positions 524 to 776 of the family's 1533-position model. The record is from RNAcentral.
GACGUAGGGCGCGAGCGUUGUCCGGAUUUAUUGGGCGUAAAGAGCUCGUAGGCGGCUUGUCGCGUCGACUGUGAAAACUUGGGGCUCAACCCCAAGCUUGCAGUCGAUACGGGCAGGCUAGAGUUCGGUAGGGGAGACUGGAAUUCCUGGUGUAGCGGUGAAAUGCGCAGAUAUCAGGAAGAACACCCGUGGCGAAGGCGGCUCUCUGGGACGGUACUGACGCUGAGACGCGAAAGCGUGGGGAGCGAACAGG